This 456-nucleotide ribosomal RNA is filed under the name uncultured bacterium. Its description in RNAcentral is "partial 16S ribosomal RNA". It matches the Rfam family "Bacterial small subunit ribosomal RNA", at positions 338 to 795 of the family's 1533-position model. The record is from RNAcentral.
CCUAGGUGGCAGCAGUGAGGAAUAUUGGUCAAUGGGCGAGAGCCUGAACCAGCCAAGUCGCGUGAGGGAGUACUGCCCUAUGGGUUGUAAACCUCUUUUGUCGGGGAGCAAAAGCCGGACGUGUCCGGCUGUGAGAGUACCCGAAGAAAAAGCAUCGGCUAACUCCGUGCCAGCAGCCGCGGUAAUACGGAGGAUGCGAGGGUUAUCGGGAUUUAUUGGGUUUAAAGGGUGGGCAGGCGGAUUGUUAAGUCAGCGGGAAAGUUGUGGGGCUAAACCCCAUCCAGCCGUUGAAACUGGGGUUCUAGAGUGUGCUAGAGGUAUGCGGAAUGCGUGGUGUAGCGGUGAAAUGCAUAGAUAUCACGAAGAACCCCGAUUGCGAAGGCAGCAUACCGGUGCACAACUGACGCUCAGGCACGAAAGCGUGGGUAUCGAACAGGAUUAGAUACCCGAGUAGUC